CCAGGGCCUCCUUGUUGAAGGGACACUCGGUUACGGACUUCUCAAAUCCGGAGCACUUCACUUCAUUCAUGUGCACCGGCCCCAUCCCUGAAGGGCGACAAGCACGUAGGAGUGUUUGCAGAAACUCUGGAAGCGGCCUGCUGAGGAGUGAAAAGGGAGGAUACCGUGAACGAGACAUUCCAGCGUUAAUUGCCCAGAGGAACUGCAAACCUAUAGUCUUAUCUUAUGAAAUAUGCUUUUGAAGAUUGUAUGAAUGAGUUGUGUUCAUGUGAGUGUGUAGCUGUUUUCUGCUCCCCCUCCCUUCAGGGCUGCACACUGUCAUGUAACUAGGGAGUUCCUAAUUCUAAUAAAAGCAGGGCAAGACUCAGGUGAAGCUUCAGAGCAGAGGCCGAAAUCUGUAACUGGGUUUCAGCUGUGCUCUCCCUGCAGGUAAAACUAAA
Xiphophorus couchianus (Monterrey platyfish) is the source of this 440-nucleotide long non-coding RNA. RefSeq lists it as uncharacterized. The transcript is spliced from 2 exons. Lineage: Eukaryota; Metazoa; Chordata; Actinopteri; Cyprinodontiformes; Poeciliidae. The record is from RefSeq and is a predicted model, not a curated record.